RNAcentral lists this ribosomal RNA (465 nucleotides) under uncultured bacterium. Its description in RNAcentral is "partial 16S ribosomal RNA". It matches the Rfam family "Bacterial small subunit ribosomal RNA", at positions 28 to 507 of the family's 1533-position model. The record is from RNAcentral.
GACGAACGCUGGCGGCGUGCUUAACACAUGCAAGUCGAGCGGUAAGGCUCCUUCGGGAGUACACGAGCGGCGAACGGGUGAGUAACACGUGAGUAACCUGCCCCAUUCAUCGGAAUAACCAGUGGAAACGCUGGCUAAUGCCGAAUACGACCACCGAAGGCAUCUUCUGGUGGUGGAAAGCUCCGGCGGAGUGGGAUGGACUCGCGGCCUAUCAGCUUGUUGGUGAGGUAACGGCUCACCAAGGCGACGACGGGUAGCUGGCCUGAGAGGGUGACCGGCCACACUGGGACUGAGACACGGCCCAGACUCCUACGGGAGGCAGCAGUGGGGAAUAUUGGACAAUGGGCGAAAGCCUGAUCCAGCAACGCCGCGUGAGGGAUGACGGCCUUCGGGUUGUAAACCUCUUUCAGCAGGGACGAAGCGAAAGUGACGGUACCUGCAGAAGAAGGACCGGCCAACUACGUG